This 891-nucleotide ribosomal RNA is filed under the name uncultured Flavobacteriia bacterium. RNAcentral describes it as "bacterial SSU rRNA". It matches the Rfam family "Bacterial small subunit ribosomal RNA", at positions 8 to 902 of the family's 1533-position model. The record is from RNAcentral. Lineage: Bacteria; Pseudomonadati; Bacteroidota; Flavobacteriia.
AGAGUUUGAUCAUGGCUCAGGAUGAACGCUAGCGGGAGGCCUAACACAUGCAAGCCGAGCGGUAUUUGUUCUUCGGAACAGAGAGAGCGGCGUACGGGUGCGGAACACGUGUGCAACCUACCUUUAUCAGGGGGAUAGCCUUUCGAAAGGAAGAUUAAUACCCCAUAAUAUAUUGAUUGGCAUCAAUUAAUAUUGAAAACUCCGGUGGAUAGAGAUGGGCACGCGCAAGAUUAGAUAGUUGGUAGGGUAACGGCCUACCAAGUCAGUGAUCUUUAGGGGGCCUGAGAGGGUGAUCCCCCACACUGGUACUGAGACACGGACCAGACUCCUACGGGAGGCAGCAGUGAGGAAUAUUGGACAAUGGGUGAGAGCCUGAUCCAGCCAUCCCGCGUGAAGGACGACGGUUCUAUGGAUUGUAAACUUCUUUUAUAUAGGGAUAAACCUACUUACGUGUAAGUAGCUGAAGGUACUAUAUGAAUAAGCACCGGCUAACUCCGUGCCAGCAGCCGCGGUAAUACGGAGGGUGCAAGCGUUAUCCGGAUUUAUUGGGUUUAAAGGGUCCGUAGGCGGAUCUGUAAGUCAGUGGUGAAAUCUCAUAGCUUAACUAUGAAACUGCCAUUGAUACUGCAGGUCUUGAGUAAAGUAGAAGUGGCUGGAAUAAGUAGUGUAGCGGUGAAAUGCAUAGAUAUUACUUAGAACACCAAUUGCGAAGGCAGGUCACUAUGUUUUAACUGACGCUGAUGGACGAAAGCGUGGGGAGCGAACAGGAUUAGAUACCCUGGUAGUCCACGCCGUAAACGAUGCUAACUCGUUUUUGGGUUUUCGGAUUCAGAGACUAAGCGAAAGUGAUAAGUUAGCCACCUGGGGAGUACGUUCGCAAGAAUGAAACUC